UGAUAGCCGCGUUAACGAUUGAAGCGGCAUCCUUUUUGGUUUUUCGCCAAAAAGAUAGAGCUGAAAGCGUGUUAAAAC
Molecule: small RNA, 78 nt
Filed under: Ulvibacter litoralis
Lineage: Bacteria; Pseudomonadati; Bacteroidota; Flavobacteriia; Flavobacteriales; Flavobacteriaceae
Description: Flavo-1 RNA
Rfam family: Flavo-1 RNA
Source: Rfam by way of RNAcentral